Haliotis rubra (blacklip abalone) is the source of this 127-nucleotide long non-coding RNA. RefSeq lists it as uncharacterized. The record is from RefSeq and is a predicted model, not a curated record. The transcript has 3 exons. Lineage: Eukaryota; Metazoa; Mollusca; Gastropoda; Lepetellida; Haliotidae.
UCGUCUCUCCACGGAGCGGUGGGUUAGCUUAAUGGUUUAAGCAUUUGCUUGUCACGCUGAAGACACAGGUUCGAAUCCCCACAUGGGUACAAUGUGUGAAGCCCAUUUCUGGUGUCCCCUGCCGUGA